Molecule: ribosomal RNA, 823 nt
Filed under: Pseudomonas corrugata
Lineage: Bacteria; Pseudomonadati; Pseudomonadota; Gammaproteobacteria; Pseudomonadales; Pseudomonadaceae
Description: bacterial SSU rRNA
Rfam family: Bacterial small subunit ribosomal RNA
Source: RNAcentral
GCCACACUGCAGUCGAGCGGUAGAGGGUGCUUGCACCUCUUGAGAGCGGCGGACGGGUGAGUAAUGCCUAGGAAUCUGCCUGGUAGUGGGGGAUAACGCUCGGAAACGGACGCUAAUACCGCAUACGUCCUACGGGAGAAAGCAGGGGACCUUCGGGCCUUGCGCUAUCAGAUGAGCCUAGGUCGGAUUAGCUAGUUGGUGAGGUAAUGGCUCACCAAGGCGACGAUCCGUAACUGGUCUGAGAGGAUGAUCAGUCACACUGGAACUGAGACACGGUCCAGACUCCUACGGGAGGCAGCAGUGGGGAAUAUUGGACAAUGGGCGAAAGCCUGAUCCAGCCAUGCCGCGUGUGUGAAGAAGGUCUUCGGAUUGUAAAGCACUUUAAGUUGGGAGGAAGGGUUGUAGAUUAAUACUCUGCAAUUUUGACGUUACCGACAGAAUAAGCACCGGCUAACUCUGUGCCAGCAGCCGCGGUAAUACAGAGGGUGCAAGCGUUAAUCGGAAUUACUGGGCGUAAAGCGCGCGUAGGUGGUUCGUUAAGUUGGAUGUGAAAUCCCCGGGCUCAACCUGGGAACUGCAUUCAAAACUGUCGAGCUAGAGUAUGGUAGAGGGUGGUGGAAUUUCCUGUGUAGCGGUGAAAUGCGUAGAUAUAGGAAGGAACACCAGUGGCGAAGGCGACCACCUGGACUGAUACUGACACUGAGGUGCGAAAGCGUGGGGAGCAAACAGGAUUAGAUACCCUGGUAGUCCACGCCGUAAACGAUGUCAACUAGCCGUUGGGAGCCUUGAGCUCUUAGUGGCGCACCUAACGCAUUAGCUGCGC